CCUACGGGGGGCAGCAGUAGGGAAUAUUGCUCAAUGGGGGAAACCCUGAAGCAGCAACGCCGCGUGGAGGAAGAAGGUUUUAGGAUUGUAAACUCCUUUUGUUAGAGAAGAGAAUGACGGUACCUAACGAAUAAGCAACGGCUAACGCCGUGCCAGCAGCCGUGGUAAUACGGAGGGUGCAAGCGUUAUACGGAAUAACUGGGCGUAAAGAGCGCGUAGGCGGGAUAGCAAGUCAGAUGUGAAAUCCUAUGGCUUAACCCUAGAACUGCCUCUGAAACUGUUAUUCUAGAGUUUGGGUGAGGUAGGUGGAAUGCUUGGUGUAGCGGUCAAAUCCGUAGAGAUCAAGAAGAAUACUCAUUGCGAAGGCGGCCUGCUAGAACAUAACUGACGCUGAUGCACGAAAGCGUGGGGAGUAAACAGGAUUAGAUACCCUAGUAGUC
Molecule: ribosomal RNA, 440 nt
Filed under: uncultured bacterium
Lineage: Bacteria
Description: partial 16S ribosomal RNA
Rfam family: Bacterial small subunit ribosomal RNA
Source: RNAcentral